CAUGCAAGUCGAACGACAAAGUAUCUUCGGAUACGAGUACAGUGGCGGACGGGUGAGUAAUACAUAGGAAUCUACCCAAUGGAGGGGGAUAGCUCGAGGAAACUCGAAUUAAUACCGCAUAAUCUCCACGGAGUAAAGAGGGCUUCGGCUCUCGCCAUCGGAUGAGCCUAUGCAGGAUUAGCUUGUUGGUGAGGUAAAGGCUCACCAAGGCAACGAUCCUUAGCUGGUUUGAGAGGAUGACCAGCCACAUCGGGACUGAGACUCGGCCCGGACUUCUACGGAAGGCAGCAGUAGGGAAUAUUGGACAAUGAGCGAAAGCUUGAUCCAGCCAUGCCGCGUGUGCGAUGACGGCCCUCGGGUUGUAAAGCACUUUAGGUAACGAGGAAAAGUUAGGUGUUAAUACCAUCUAACCUUGACGUUAAUUACAGAAUAAGCACCGGCUAAAUCCGUGCCAGCAGCCGCGGUAAUACGGAUGGUGCAAGCGUUAAUCGGAAUUACU
This 499-nucleotide ribosomal RNA is filed under the name uncultured bacterium. RNAcentral's name for it is "bacterial SSU rRNA". It matches the Rfam family "Bacterial small subunit ribosomal RNA", at positions 54 to 555 of the family's 1533-position model. The record is from RNAcentral.